This 133-nucleotide non-coding RNA is filed under the name Scrippsiella trochoidea. Lineage: Eukaryota; Dinophyceae; Peridiniales; Peridiniaceae. The record is from RNAcentral.
CGCUGACAUCGUUGAUGGGCGCGCAGAUUGCGCCAGUGCUUGCGUUGACAUCGGUGAUGCGCACGCCAUGACAGGAGAUGAGCAAUGCAGUGCUGUCGACUCCACAUGUGUUUGCGUGGCGCCGGAAGACAAC